GGAGAAAAAAAGAAGAGAUAUCCAAGUUUGAAUUUUAUUCGCUAGUCACCUGCAAACAGAAUACAUAUCCGCUGAGUUAUGAAUGUGAAAAAACCAAUAUGUGCUUUUCAUUGGCUUGUUAUGGACUGACCACUUACUCUAAAGGAGAAACCAACCCUAAUAUAGACCUACCCUGUGUUUUACCCUGUAAGAGAAAGCCUCCACAGCAGGUGUAAGACUCCCAACUGUUGUUUUUGGAGGCUAGUUCAGGUUCGGUGCCUAAAAAGCGUGACACAAAUGAAAUAAUUUACCUCCCCACCCAAAAAAAACAUAGUAGUAUCAUUUUUGAUUUCACAGUGUAACCAAGUGUACCAUUUCGUCUCCGCGCGCACACACACACACACAUAAAACAUUACCAAGAUUUGAACCAUAACUGCCCUCCCCUCUUCACAGUAUGUCUUCUCCCGCAGGCUGUUGUUGUAAAUAUGAAUGUUUUCUCAGUCAACUUGCCUUGUUAAAUAAGAUUUUACAAAAUCCCAUGAAAGAUUUCUCAAAGCUUGACGGCUGAUAUUGGCAUUCCCGUGCAGUGCGCUGUGUUUUAAAACCCGCAAACAACCCAGCAUAAAUUUACACCAUUAAGUCCCCCGGGCUAGAAAACAGAUAAAGUGCUGUGCGUGUGGCAUGAGAAUGCAGUAGUCAUAAUGAGAAUGUAGAUGUCCUCUGGAUGCCAUGGACGCUGCCUCCAACAAGCACACGUAAGUGCUUACUCUCGUCUGUUGCCGUGUGUCAAUGAAUAAUGCACAUAUUAAUCUGGCAAUGUAUGGAAGCUAAUUAAUUCAGUAUUUUCCUAUUCAAGGUUAUCUAAUUAAUGUGGUAUCUUUGUAGUCAUUAGGCAUGGAUAAAAUUCUUGAUUUAUCUUCGUCAGCCUUUUACCUCAAUUUUCUACUGAUUUAUAUAAUGACCCGCAGUCACUUCCUUUGUAAAACAACCGCCAGCUCCACCCUCGAUUGUGGUGGUAUCUGCAGUCUCUGCAAUGGUGGGUGAGAAUUUAACCCUUUUAGCACCUACGCACUCAGGUGCAUUUUUUUUUCAAUUUAAUAGACAAUAAGAGAAAGGUUGCUAGCUGCAGUUCAUACUCCACUAUAGUCAGUCAAGUUUAUUCAAGGAAGUUGGUGAUGAUUUAACACCCCUGUCAGCUGGUGCUCUGCAAUACGUGCUGGGAUCCCUCCUCUGCAGCAGUAGCAGUGGCACGGGCUGCCAUAACUCUCUCUGGAAUUGCAGCUGGGACCGGGCCUUUGCUUAAAUGAUCUGCAUCUGGGGAAGAAGGAAGUGCAGUUUGGGCAAUGAAUGCUGCAGGCAGUCUUGUGGGGACUGAGGUGGGGCUGUGGGUCAACACAGGUUUGUCUCCCCUCUCUGGCCCUUCACUCCCUGGUGUUUUUCAGCAACACACGGACGCUCUUGGAGAAAACAUCACGAGGAUCAGUAGCAGGCAGAGCAGGACAGACGCAUCUUUCCCUCAGCUCCAGAGC
Astatotilapia calliptera (eastern happy) is the source of this 1508-nucleotide long non-coding RNA. Lineage: Eukaryota; Metazoa; Chordata; Actinopteri; Cichliformes; Cichlidae. The record is from Ensembl.